CUCCCAAACCCCUGUGAACAUACCUUAAUGUUGCCUCGGCGGAUCAGCCCGCGCCCGGUAAAACGGGACGGCCCGCCAGAGGAUCCAAACUCUUGCUGUUAUUGUAACUUCUGAGUAAAACAAACAAAUAAAUCAAAACUUUCAACAACGGAUCUCUUGGUUCUGGCAUCGAUGAAGAACGCAGCAAAAUGCGAUAAGUAAUGUGAAUUGCAGAAUUCAGUGAAUCAUCGAAUCUUUGAACGCACAUUGCGCCCGCCAGUAUUCUGGCGGGCAUGCCUGUUCGAGCGUCAUUUCAACCCUCAAGCCCCCGGGUUUGGUGUUGGGGAUCGGCAAGCCUUCUGGCGAGCCGCCCCCUAAAUCUAGUGGCGGUCUCACUGCAGCCUCCAUUGCGUAGUAGCUAACACCUCGCAACUGGAACGCGGUGCGGCCAUGCCGUUAAACCCCCAACUUCUGAAUGUUGACCUCGGAUCAGGUAGGAAUACCCGCUGAACUUAAGCAUAUCAAUAAGCGGAGGAA
This 516-nucleotide ribosomal RNA is filed under the name fungal endophyte. RNAcentral describes it as "eukaryotic LSU rRNA". The stretch from base 137 to 290 matches the Rfam family "5.8S ribosomal RNA". Lineage: Eukaryota; Fungi. The record is from RNAcentral.